Molecule: long non-coding RNA, 3611 nt
Filed under: Homo sapiens (human)
Lineage: Eukaryota; Metazoa; Chordata; Mammalia; Primates; Hominidae
Description: HSALNT0042310
Source: RNAcentral
CAUCAACUGAGUUCUUUCCAGAGAGGGACCUUGUAAGGCUGACUUUGGAAUAUGACUGCAUUCUGAUGGAGAGAUUUCCAGUUUAAGAUGCCAUACUGAACAUAUACACUGAUCUCUUUGCCUUUGGAAACUCCAUUAAGCUGAUUGUAAAGGAGGAAAAGGAUUCUCACAUGACAAUGAAGAGACUGAAGAAGUAUCAUCAAUGGAUAAAGCAGAAUAGAAAUAGCAGCCGCCUGGACCAUACCUAGAAAGGAAUCAUUUUGCCUGGCAGAAGCAUGAAACAGUUCCAUAUUUGAGAUGGCAUUUACCACUGAGGGAAAAAAAAAGUAUCAUGUGAAAGAAGCAAGAAUUGGACUGACCACACACUUGUCAUUGCCAAUCAGAUGCUGCAAAACAAUGGAUCUGUUUUUCAGAGUUCUGAAAUAAAAUGCUAAUCAAACUAGAAUCUGCUUAGCUAAGACACUGCCAAAUAUGAAGACCAAAUAAAAGAUUUUCAGAUGUGUCAUAAUUCAGAGUUUAUACUCCAAGCAUUCUUUUGUAGAAAGGAACUCAAGGGUGUAUUUCAGCAAAAUAAAGAAGUAAAGUACUAGAGCCAUCACUCAGAGAGCAAAUGACCAGACCAGAUGCUAACAACAAACAUUGUGUGACUUCCUAUCUCCAGCCACUUCUGAAGUCAGAUCUAUUUUCUUGAGUAAGUAAUUUUUUUCCAAGUUUGGGUUGUUUUUCAUACCAUUUGGAACCAAGAGUUCUGGUAGUCACAAUAAUGUUUGGAGAUACUAGAUGGACUGUAAAAGCAGAAUCUCUAUGUACGUUCUCCGCUGAACAGCACGGGAAUUGGUGCCACAGAGAAAGAAAUGUGAUCCUACCAAACCAGUUAGCUCAAGAGCAAUGCUUAGGUAGCCAUAGCAAUUUAAACUGUUUAUUGAUUUAAAAUUUUUAGAAGUCACUGAGACCUUUAUAGUCAGAGAAAUUGUCAACCUUGACAAGUAUAAAGGUAAAUGUACAUGUAACCAAAGUCGGGAAGUGAAAGAGAGUGAAGAAAGGUAGGUAAGGUAGACAGAGGGCAGGAAAGCCCAUGUCCUCAUCUCCCAAAGCAGGUAGUGAAGAGAUCUGCCCUGUGAAGACCAGAAUAAGAAUUGGAGGUACACUUAACAGUCCCUGCCAUGUCAUCAACAAAUGGUGUUGAGAACACAUUGUAGGAAGGGAAAUGCUUACAUUCAUAGAAAUACAGAAGCCAUAUGAUUUUUAAAUAUCAUUUCAGAAGUUCAAAAAUAAGUCUACAAACUCAUGUGAUGGAUAUUAGGUCUAUUCCUAAGUAGUCUCAUACUAUAGAUGGAAUUUGUGCUUGGCGUCUUUUUCCCUUUUUAGGAACAUUUGGUCCACAGUGCAGUUCAAAAAAAAAAAAAAAUGGGUAAAGGACCAAAGCAGGCAGUUCAUGCAGGCAAACCCACACAUUCACAAAAGGUGAAAAUAUAAAAAUAAAAAUGUUAAAUAUUACCAGGAAUCAAAGAAAUGCAAAAUAAAAUAUCAAAAUAGGAUCAUUUUAAUUUGGAUUAUCAGAGAUUAAAAAGAUUGGAGAACCACACUGGUAGCAAGGCUGUAGAGAAGUUGGCACUUUCAUAAUCAGCUGGUGGUAGAAGAAGGACUGAAAACUUUCUGGAGGGAAGUUUACGAGUAAAUGUCAAAAUUAUGCAUAUUUUUUGGUAUAGCAAAUCUAACUCUAGGAAUGUACUUUAAGGUUAACAUUGGAUAAAUGUACAAAGAUGCAAGUUCAAGAAUACUUUUUGAAACUUUGUUUACAAUAUCCAGAAAUUAAAACUAUUUAAGAAUUCAUCCAGACAAAAUUAGAUAAAUAAAUUAUGUAACACAUAAAAAUGAAUGGUGCAGGUCUAAAUUGGUUGACAUGGAAAAUGUCUACAUUCUGUUGCUUAGUAUAUAUAAUACGACUUUAUUUUUGUGGAGGGGAAGAAGGAAAUGUUUAUGUAGCUGUGUACAUAGUGAAAACUCUGGAAAUACAUGUCUCAGAGCCAUGAGUACCAAGGUGGGGCUUGGUGCCAUGGUCUGCCCUGGAAGCAGAUAAAAAAAGCGGUGCAAUGUCUACGGUAUAUUUGUAAAUAGUAGUAAUUCUCACUAAAAGUUGGUCUUCUCUUUAUUAUCACCAUGUCCAGAAAAUCUAAACUAUUUUCAAGAUAGAACAUUUUUUCCUGCUGAGGCAGAUGACUCUACUCCUACCAUACCCCUUCCUUGGUGUGCUAUUCCAUCAGAGGUAAAAAAUAUGGUAUCCCAGUGAGAAAAUAAAAUUAGGUGAGAGGGCCAGCUAAUCAAGAAAGUUAUAGAACAUAUUUCUUUGUGUAAGUAAAAAAUAUCAGGGUCAAGUAUAGGACCUUCCAGUCCUUGCCUGGUCUCCGCUGUGGACUUCCUGGACUCCGUGUCCUCUAGUUUGGCCGCUGGCCCAUCAGAGGGAGCCAUGCCACAAAUGCAGCCUUUUUCUUUCAUGAGCUUGAAUGAUUUUUUUUAAAGUCUUAUUCCCAUGGCAAGUUUGAAUUUUAAAAGAGAAUCACUAAAAAUGCCAUGCUUUAAUCUAAAGUAAUGAAUAUCUUAACGGUGGUGAAUUUAGGCAGCAUGGCUGGCUGAUGGGAAAGUUAUGUAACUAUUUCAGGAAGUAGAUUUUAAGGCAGUAAAGAGACUAGGAAAGGAGAAGACAGAAAUUUGUGUAGCAUAUCUUACAUCAUAUCGUCAUAUCAUACUGUUACAAUGUGUAAGGCCAGGCCUCAGGUUUUCCAGAUAUAAAUCAGAUGCUAUCAUGAAAAAAUUAACUGGCCCUGACUCAAGGUCUGUGUAGUUUUAAGCCCAUGCAUACAUAAUGUUUCUUAUGUGUCUGGUAGAAGGCACUGGGAAAGAAAAAGAGAAUGAUAGGAACAUAAGAUUUAUGGAUGAAAAAAUAAUAAAGACAUUACCAAAAUGGGCUAAGUCCUUGCUCAAAUGUUACCUUCUAAAUUAGGCCCAAUUCCCCAUUUAAAAUCAGCUCCCCUUAGCUUCCCAUUUUUCUGAUCUUACUUUCUUCCCCCCCAUAGAUCUUACCACCAUCCAACAUCUUAAAACAUUUAUUAUUUUUAUUGCUUAUUGCCUCUUUUCCCUGCAUGGAGCUCCAUGAGGGCAAGUACUUUUGUUUGUUUUGCUCAUAUAUCCCAAGAGCUGAGGAACAAUGCUUGGCAUAAAAUAAGUAUUUAAUCAAUAUCGUUGCCUGAAUGAAUUAAUGAAUGAAUGACAGAGAGGAUACGGAGCUGUCCUGCGGCCCUCCAUGGCCCAGGCUAGACAACACCAAGAGGGAGCACUUCCAGGUGUUACCAGGAAAGGGUCAAGCUCCUUUUUUUUAUUAAACAAUUAGACGUUAACUAUUGUUAUCUAAAAAUGGGCAUUUAAUCCUUGUGCUACUGCUUCAGGGUGCCUUUCAAGAUAAAUUGUAGGUUUUAAAAAAAUUGUAAUGUGGAGAAUUAGUAAUAGGAGAGUUUACUGCAGCUAUUCAGUUAUUUUUCCUGAGAACUGAGGAAAGAUUACCAGCUAUUUAUGAGAAGUAUCUGUUUUAUGGAUUAGUAAAUUGAGAAUUAGUU